RNAcentral lists this unclassified non-coding RNA (379 nucleotides) under uncultured Actinomycetes bacterium. RNAcentral describes it as "uncultured actinobacterium contains 16S-23S intergenic spacer region". The record is from RNAcentral. Lineage: Bacteria; Bacillati; Actinomycetota; Actinomycetes.
UCCGAGUUGACCCCGGUAGUCUCCUAUGAGUCCCCGCCAUAACGCGCUGGCAACAUAGAACGAGGGUUGCGCUCGUUGCGGGACUUAACCCAACAUCUCACGACACGAGCUGACGACAACCAUGCACCACCUGUAAACCGGCCCCGAAGGGAAACCGCAUCUCUGCAGCCCAUACUGGACAUGUCAAACGUGGGUAAGGUUCUUCGCGUUGCUUCGAAUUAAUCCGCAUGCUCCGCCGCUUGUGCGGGCCCCCGUCAAUUCCUUUGAGUUUUAACCUUGCGGCCGUACUCCCCAGGCGGGGCACUUACUGCGUUAGCGACGGCACCGGGAGGGUCGCUCCCCCCGACGCCUAGUGCCCAUCGUUUACGGCGUGGACUAC